UUACGAAAAAAAGCUCUCACGUGGAUGCUCUUUUGCUAUAGUAGUAUCUGAUAAAAUAAUUUUGAAAAAAUGUUUCUAAACAAAUAGUGUAAAGAACAUUUCAAGAAUGAUGCAUUGCCAGUAAAAUUACGGAAAAAAGCUCCCACGUGGACACUUUUUUGCUACAGUAGUAUCUGAAAAAGCCUUAGACUAUAAAUGAGCCAAAUUUCAUUCUCAGAUUGUAUAAGUUACAGCAAGAGAAAUUAAGGCUGAAGAAAAAUAGAAACUAAAGAUAAAUGAACGUGUUAGUGCUGUUAUUUACUAUGAUAGCGAGG
This 314-nucleotide long non-coding RNA is filed under the name Gossypium barbadense (sea-island cotton). RNAcentral describes it as "long non-coding RNA (GBAR_LNC003024)". Lineage: Eukaryota; Viridiplantae; Streptophyta; Magnoliopsida; Malvales; Malvaceae. The record is from RNAcentral.